Molecule: ribosomal RNA, 301 nt
Filed under: uncultured bacterium
Lineage: Bacteria
Description: partial 16S ribosomal RNA
Rfam family: Bacterial small subunit ribosomal RNA
Source: RNAcentral
CAGCAGCCACGGUAAUACGGAGGGUGCAAGCGUUAUCCGGAUUCACUGGGUUUAAAGGGUGCGUAGGCGGAUCUGUAAGUCAGUGGUGAAAUCUCCAGGCUUAACCUGGAAACUGCCGUUGAUACUAUAGGUCUUGAAUUUUGUGGAGGUUAGCGGAAUAUGUCAUGUAGCGGUGAAAUGCAUAGAUAUGACAUAGAACACCAAUUGCGAAGGCAGCUGGCUACACAACUAUUGACGCUGAGGCACGAAAGCGUGGGGAUCAAACAGGAUUAGAUACCCCCGUAGUCCCUGUCUCUUAUAA